AUUGAACGCUGGCGGCGUGCUUAACACAUGCAAGUCGUGCGGUAACAGGCGUAGCAAUACGUGCUGACGAGCGGCGAACGGGUGCGUAAUACAUGGGAAUCUGCCCUUUAGUGGGGAAUAACCCGGCGAAAGCCGGGCUAAUGCCGCAUAAGAUCUUCGGAUGAAAGCGGGGGAGUCGUAAGACCUCGCGCUGAUGGAUGAGCCCACUGUCGGAUUAGCAGUUGGUGAGGUAACGGCUCACCAAGGCGACGAUCCGUAGCUGGUCGUGA
RNAcentral lists this ribosomal RNA (269 nucleotides) under uncultured bacterium. RNAcentral describes it as "partial 16S ribosomal RNA". It matches the Rfam family "Bacterial small subunit ribosomal RNA", at positions 30 to 297 of the family's 1533-position model. The record is from RNAcentral.